RNAcentral lists this ribosomal RNA (531 nucleotides) under uncultured bacterium. RNAcentral describes it as "bacterial SSU rRNA". It matches the Rfam family "Bacterial small subunit ribosomal RNA", at positions 979 to 1509 of the family's 1533-position model. The record is from RNAcentral.
CCUUGACAUACUAAGAACUUUCCAGAGAUGGAUUGGUGCCUUCGGGAACUUAGAUACAGGUGCUGCAUGGCUGUCGUCAGCUCGUGUCGUGAGAUGUUGGGUUAAGUCCCGCAACGAGCGCAACCCUUUUCCUUAUUUGCCAGCGGGUCAUGCCGGGAACUUUAAGGAUACUGCCAGUGACAAACUGGAGGAAGGCGGGGACGACGUCAAGUCAUCAUGGCCCUUACGGCCAGGGCUACACACGUGCUACAAUGGUCGGUACAAAGGGUUGCUACCUCGCGAGAGGAUGCUAAUCUCAAGAAGCCGAUCGUAGUCCGGAUCGCAGUCUGCAACUCGACUGCGUGAAGUCGGAAUCGCUAGUAAUCGCGGAUCAGAAUGCCGCGGUGAAUACGUUCCCGGGCCUUGUACACACCGCCCGUCACACCAUGGGAGUUUGUUGCACCAGAAGUAGGUAGUCUAACCGCAAGGAGGACGCUUACCACGGUGUGGCCGAUGACUGGGGUGAAGUCGUAACAAGGUAAGCGUAGAUGA